UAACGAAUCUUCCGCAAUGCACGAAAGUGUGACGGAGCGACGCCGCGUGGAGGACGAAGUUCUUCGGAAUGUAAACUCCUGUCAGGGGAAAGAAAGUUCUGAUCUACCCCAGAGGAAGAGGCGGCUAACUCUGUGCCAGCAGCCGCGGUAAUACAGAGGCCUCGAGCGUUAGACGGAAUCACUGGGCUUAAAGCGUGUGUAGGCGGAAGGGUAAGUACCUUGUGAAAUCCCACGGCUUAACCGUGGAACGGCUUGGUAUACUGCUUUUCUUGAGCAAUCUAGGGGCGAGUGGAACAGAUGGUGGAGCGGUGAAAUGCGUAGAUAUCAUCUGGAACGCCAAAUGGUGAAGACAACUCGCUGGGGAUUUGCUGACGCUGAGACACGAAAGCCAGGGGAGCGAACGGGAUUAGAUACCCAAGUAGUCCCUGAGCGGGCUGGCAAGGCGCAU
RNAcentral lists this ribosomal RNA (448 nucleotides) under uncultured bacterium. RNAcentral's name for it is "bacterial SSU rRNA". It matches the Rfam family "Bacterial small subunit ribosomal RNA", at positions 355 to 825 of the family's 1533-position model. The record is from RNAcentral.